CCUACGGGAGGCAGCAGUGGGGAAUUUUGGACAAUGGGCGAAAGCCUGAUCCAGCCAUUCCGCGUGCAGGAUGAAGGCCCUCGGGUUGUAAACUGCUUUUGUACAGAACGAAAAGGUUUCUACUAAUACUAGGAGCUCAUGACGGUACUGUAAGAAUAAGCACCGGCUAACUACGUGCCAGCAGCCGCGGUAAUACGUAGGGUGCAAGCGUUAAUCGGAAUUACUGGGCGUAAAGCGUGCGCAGGCGGUUAUAUAAGUCAGAUGUGAAAUCCCCGGGCUCAACCUGGGAACUGCAUUUGAGACUGUAUAGCUAGAGUACGGUAGAGGGGGAUGGAAUUCCGCGUGUAGCAGUGAAAUGCGUAGAUAUGCGGAGGAACACCGAUGGCGAAGGCAAUCCCCUGGACCUGUACUGACGCUCAUGCACGAAAGCGUGGGGAGCAAACAGGAUUAGAUACCCUGGUAGUCCACGCCCUAAACGAUGUCAACUGGUUGUUGGGUCUUAACUGACUCAGUAACGAAGCUAACGCGUGAGUGACGCGNGGAGUACGGCGCGAGUAGAACGUAAUAGAGUGAGNGNGAGAGNGCGAGACGACGACGAGGGAGGAGG
This 607-nucleotide ribosomal RNA is filed under the name uncultured bacterium. RNAcentral's name for it is "bacterial SSU rRNA". The stretch from base 1 to 539 matches the Rfam family "Bacterial small subunit ribosomal RNA", at positions 338 to 873 of the family's 1533-position model. The record is from RNAcentral.